UACGGGGGGGGCAAGCGUUGUUCGGAAUUACUGGGCGUAAAGGGUGCGCAGGCGGCCGAGUGUGUGAGGCGUGAAAGCCCGGGGCUUAACCCCGGAAUUGCACCUCAAACUACACGGCUAGAGCAUUGGAGAGGGUAGCAGAAUUCACGGUGUAGCAGUGAAAUGCGUAGAUAUCGUGAGGAAUACCAGAGGCGAAGGCGGCUACCUGGACAAUUGCUGACGCUCAGGUACGAAAGCGUGGGGAGCAAAAGGG
This 253-nucleotide ribosomal RNA is filed under the name uncultured bacterium. RNAcentral describes it as "partial 16S ribosomal RNA". It matches the Rfam family "Bacterial small subunit ribosomal RNA", at positions 524 to 776 of the family's 1533-position model. The record is from RNAcentral.